GGCAGUUAGGCUGCAGUGAAUUCUACAAAGAGGCUAUGGGAAAGAAACCUGGAAAGUACCCUUGGCUGUGUACAUUUGAGUAAAGAGAGCACUAUAAAAUCAAAAACCAAUGAAAUGGUUUCCAGAACACAGAACUAUUAAGCUUAAGAAAAGGACAGAAGGAACUGAAGAGAGAGGAACUGUUUUGGAGCAUCACACUUCCACCUCAGAAGAAAUAAGGAAGGAAGGAGGAGGGUGUUCCCACGGCUCUUCAACCAGGCCGGCUCUUCAGCCUACAUCCCCAUCUCAUCAAGUAAAAGGGAUUUUUCAACUGGACCAACCAGAUGGUUUAACAGUGCACUCCCACACCAUUCAACUACGCAAGGGAGAUACACUUAACAUAUGCAGUCGUAUAACACCUACUAACAUUUUCAAACAUUAAACCUUUAAAAAAGAGUUCUAAAGAAAUAGAAGCUUGAAGUAUCAUCUCUCAAGUAUAUAGACACUACUUCAUGGUGUGGUAAUAUAUGCAUAUAGAAGCUAGUAAACACCUCCAGGAGAUGCAAAAGGAAUUAGAACUGCCACAAGGUGCAAGCAAAACCUUGAGGUAAUCAAUCUGCAUCCCAUUUUGGAUGAGAAUAUUUGCAACUUUGAAGGUUAUUUUAAGGACAGCAGCAGAAGAAUUAUGGCAGGUAUCUGAAAUUCAUUUCUGUGCUUUGCCGAGGACCCAUGGGAUGCCAUUUGCAGAUGAGAAAACUAAAGAAUAGCUUUAUCUUCCAGCUCUUCACGGAAAAAAAAAUGGCAACAAUAAAAUCAGCAACUCCUGCCAAAUAAAUGGGCAUAAAAAAGAAAUCAUAGACUGCUGGCAAUGGUGGGGAAAAAGUUAUAAAAAUUGUCUCUGCACCAUCUUCCUUUUGUCCUCUAAAAUAUUCACAUUAGCAAAAGUAUAUAACAGCUGAUGAAGAAAUACUGAUAAUUUGUCUUUGGGACUAGCUUCAGUAUUUUGGCUUCUUUUUGCUUCUUUGCAACAAAUUGGGAGACAAAGGUGGGAAAGUUUUUUUCAAUAAGUUAAUAAUUUUUUAAAGGUCAAAAUUUUGUUCUUUGCUUAUAUUAGAAUUAAACACUGUGAGAUUCUCUCU
This 1118-nucleotide long non-coding RNA is filed under the name Homo sapiens (human). RNAcentral's name for it is "long intergenic non-protein coding RNA 343". The record is from RNAcentral. Lineage: Eukaryota; Metazoa; Chordata; Mammalia; Primates; Hominidae.